GUCUAUGGCCAUACCACCCUGAACAAGCCCGAUGUCUGAUCUUGGAGGCUAAGCAGGGUCGGGCCCGGUUAGUACUUGGAUGGGAGACCACCUAGGAAGACCAGGUGCUGUAGGAA
RNAcentral lists this ribosomal RNA (116 nucleotides) under Pteropus alecto (black flying fox). The record is from RNAcentral. Lineage: Eukaryota; Metazoa; Chordata; Mammalia; Chiroptera; Pteropodidae. RNAcentral also lists the same sequence under 1 other name.